GAUGAACGCUGGCGGCGUGCCUAAUACAUGCAAGUCGAGCGAACGGACGAGAAGCUUGCUUCUCUGAUGUUAGCGGCGGACGGGUGAGUAACACGUGGAUAACCUACCUAUAAGACUGGGAUAACUUCGGGAAACCGGAGCUAAUACCGGAUAAUAUUUUGAACCGCAUGGUUCAAAAGUGAAAGACGGUCUUGCUGUCACUUAUAGAUGGAUCCGCGCUGCAUUAGCUAGUUGGUAAGGUAACGGCUUACCAAGGCAACGAUGCAUAGCCGACCUGAGAGGGUGAUCGGCCACACUGGAACUGAGACACGGUCCAGACUCCUACGGGAGGCAGCAGUAGGGAAUCUUCCGCAAUGGGCGAGAGCCUGACGGAGCAACGCCGCGUGAGUGAUGAAGGUCUUCGGAUCGUAAAACUCUGUUAUUAGGGAAGAACAGAUGUGGAAGUAACUGUGCACAUCUUGACGGUACCUAAUCAGAAAGCCACGGCUAACUACGUG
This 497-nucleotide ribosomal RNA is filed under the name uncultured bacterium. RNAcentral's name for it is "partial 16S ribosomal RNA". It matches the Rfam family "Bacterial small subunit ribosomal RNA", at positions 28 to 507 of the family's 1533-position model. The record is from RNAcentral.